AACAAAGAUUGGAUCAAAGAGAAGA
RNAcentral lists this non-coding RNA (25 nucleotides) under Cricetulus griseus (Chinese hamster). Lineage: Eukaryota; Metazoa; Chordata; Mammalia; Rodentia; Cricetidae. The record is from RNAcentral.